CAGCUAGUCAGGCAGGAACAAGGCAGGAGAAGCUCCACCCCCCCACACCAACCUGGACUGUCAGGCUAUCAGGUGAUGGUCAGGUGGUUGUUAACUGUCUCUCUAAAAUAAUAAUUGAUUGCAGCUGGCACCAGGGACAGGCAGGCUCCCUAUAGAUAGGAAAAACCUGAAACUGUUGAUCAGUAGCUUCUUGAUAAGCUCUCAGGAGUUGAGCGAUUGGGCUCAACGCAUGUGCAUUAGGAGGCAAAAUGGCAUAGUUUAACUGGUAUACGACCUCCUACGGACAUUUGGCUAAGGGAAGAAUGCCUCAAGUGAGCAUGCCUACAACUCCAGUAAACACUGCAUACUGUGUGUACUCCCCUCCCAAGCGCUGGCAGGCCACUGUGCAUGCAGACACCCCACCCCAAGGGAAGCAUCAGGGAAGAAGGGAAGCAAGAACCUAAAAGCACGCCAACAGAUUGUCUCAUCCUGGAUAAGAGAAAAUCCAUAAGAGUUGGCGUCUAUGGGCACCAGAAUCUCAACUGUAAUAAUAAGCCUGGCAUAUUCCUCAGAGUCAUCAAGGCAAGCUGGCUUCAGUUUUCUAUAUGCCUCAGCCCUUCUGAGCUGCAGACCUCUUUGGGGAUGAAGAAUAAGCAGACAUCCUUCAUUAUGAGACAGGUGGUGGGAUGGUUAAUAUUGAGUGUCAACAUGAUUGGAUUGAAGGAUGCAAAAUAUUUUUCCUGAGUGUGUCGGUGAGGACAUUGCCAAAGGUGAUUAACGUUGAAUUAGUGGACUGGGAGAGGCAGACCCACCCUCCAUAUAGGUGGGCAUCGUCUA
RNAcentral lists this long non-coding RNA (816 nucleotides) under Homo sapiens (human). RNAcentral describes it as "HSALNT0286986". The record is from RNAcentral. Lineage: Eukaryota; Metazoa; Chordata; Mammalia; Primates; Hominidae.